AUGAAUAUCCUGAGUUGGAACUGUUGAGGAGGUGGGAACCCUCGGACAGUUCGUGAUCUCGUGAGUCUAGUACAGGCUCACUCCCCUAGUGUCAUUUUUCUUUGUGAAACUAGGCAGUCGAAAAAUAAAAUGAAGAGAUAUCGUGCUCGGUAAGGUCUUAGUGGUUUUGAUGCUUUUGAUAGUGUUGGUCUUAGUGGUGGUCUUGCCUUGUUUUGGCACGAGUCGUUGAGUCUUGAUGUAAAAACAAUAAAUGAAAGAUAUAUCGAUGCGUAUGUGAAUGGUGUGGCGGGUGAGCCACCCUGGAGGCUUACUUGCGUCUACGGCGAACCCCGUACGGAGGACCGUCAUUGCAUGUGGUCAUCCCUACGGGAUCUUCAUCAACAGACCGAUAUGCCGUGGGUUGUCAUCGGCGAUUUUAAUGAAGCCAUGUGGAGUUUUGAGCACUUCUCCGAAACCCCACGUGGGGCAGGUCAGAUGAUUGAUUUUCGUGAUGUUCUUGAAGUUUGUGGGUUGGGAGACCUUGGUUUUGCAGGCCUUCCUUACACAUAUGACAAUCGCCGAGGAGGGCGGGCGAACAUCAAGGUUCGCCUUGACCAUGCUGUGGCAAACAAUGGCUAG
RNAcentral lists this ribosomal RNA (618 nucleotides) under Triticum aestivum (bread wheat). Its description in RNAcentral is "partial small subunit ribosomal RNA". The record is from RNAcentral. Lineage: Eukaryota; Viridiplantae; Streptophyta; Magnoliopsida; Poales; Poaceae.